AGUUUACAGAAGUUCAAAUUUGC
This 23-nucleotide non-coding RNA is filed under the name Arabidopsis thaliana (thale cress). Lineage: Eukaryota; Viridiplantae; Streptophyta; Magnoliopsida; Brassicales; Brassicaceae. The record is from RNAcentral.